RNAcentral lists this ribosomal RNA (440 nucleotides) under uncultured bacterium. RNAcentral's name for it is "bacterial SSU rRNA". It matches the Rfam family "Bacterial small subunit ribosomal RNA", at positions 338 to 795 of the family's 1533-position model. The record is from RNAcentral.
CCUACGGGAGGCAGCAGUGGGGAAUAUUGCACAAUGGGCGAAAGCCUGAUGCAGCAACGCCGCGUGAGCGAUGAAGGUCUUCGGGUCGUAAAGCUCUGUCCUAAGGGAAGAAUAUUGACGGUACCUUAGGAGGAAGCCCCGGCUAACUACGUGCCUGGAGCCACGGUAAUACGUAGGGGGCUAGCGGUAUCCGGAAUUACUGGGCGUAAAGGGUGCGUAGGCGGCCCUUCAAGUCAGAGGUGAAAGGGUACGGCUCAACCGUAGUAAGCCUUUGAAACUGUAGAGCUUGAGUGAAGGAGAGGAGACUGGAAUUACCAGUGUAGCGGUGAAAUGCGUAUAUAUUGGGAGGAACACCAGUUGCGAAGGCGGCUCUCUGGGCUGUAACUGACGCUGAGGCACGAAAGCGUGGGGAGCGAACAGGAUUAGAUACCCCGGUAGUC